AUUGAACGCUGGCGGCAGGCCUAACACAUGCAAGUCGAGCGGAUGAAGGGAGCUUGCUCCUGGAUUCAGCGGCGGACGGGUGAGUAAUGCCUAGGAAUCUGCCUGGUAGUGGGGGAUAACGUCCGGAAACGGGCGCUAAUACCGCAUACGUCCUGAGGGAGAAAGUGGGGGAUCUUCGGACCUCACGCUAUCAGAUGAGCCUAGGUCGGAUUAGCUAGUUGGUGGGGUAAAGGCCUACCAAGGCGACGAUCCGUAACUGGUCUGAGAGGAUGAUCAGUCACACUGGAACUGAGACACGGUCCAGACUCCCACGGGAGGCAGCAGUGGGGAAUAUUGGACAAUGGGCGAAAGCCCGAUUCAGCCAUGCCGCGUGUGUGAAGAAGGUCUUCGGAUUGUAAAGCACUUUAAGUUGGGAGGAAGGGCAGUAAGUUAAUACCUUGCUGUUUUGACGUUACCAACAGAAUAAGCACCGGCUAACUUCGUG
This 484-nucleotide ribosomal RNA is filed under the name uncultured bacterium. Its description in RNAcentral is "partial 16S ribosomal RNA". It matches the Rfam family "Bacterial small subunit ribosomal RNA", at positions 30 to 507 of the family's 1533-position model. The record is from RNAcentral.